This is a small nucleolar RNA of Oryzias sinensis (Chinese medaka), 138 nucleotides long. The record is from Ensembl. NCBI's taxonomy places the organism in Eukaryota, Metazoa, Chordata, Actinopteri, Beloniformes, Adrianichthyidae.
CGACGGCGGUUCCUCUUCCUGUCUGAAGUCGAGCAGGAGGAUUUUACGCCGUCGCAGAGAACUGUGGGUCUUUUCACCCAGAAAGCUGCAGGUGGAGCCCGCCAACACGGCUCUCUGGUUUUGUGGGACCCCACAAAC